GCACCUUUCACCUGAGCCCUAGCGCUCAAUGAUGUACGCAUCUGACGAACGCAAGCAUGGAAUGAGCAGACAACAUCAUGGACUCCCAGAUGGACUAUCAUAAGGCAGCACCACCAAUCCCUCAGGACUAACGCUUAUCCUCUAUACCGGACAUUACGGACUUUACACCUGCCUAAGCUGAGUGGAGCACUUCCGUGAAAGAGGCCUAGCACCAUAAUCCAAACAUAUGAUUUCUCCCUUCAAAGGACAAGGUGACAGGACUCUAUGUACCCUACAGUGCGCUACAUCCGAGUCCUUAGACUAGCAGACUGCUGGAC
Pelobates cultripes (western spadefoot toad) is the source of this 317-nucleotide non-coding RNA. The record is from the annotation of a GenBank genome assembly. Lineage: Eukaryota; Metazoa; Chordata; Amphibia; Anura; Pelobatidae.